Molecule: long non-coding RNA, 564 nt
Filed under: Sus scrofa (pig)
Lineage: Eukaryota; Metazoa; Chordata; Mammalia; Artiodactyla; Suidae
Description: lncRNA (ENSSSCG00015049975.1)
Source: RNAcentral
UCACACCCAGCAUCUUCUCACCCUUCACAGAUGUCCUUCCGAACCACUUGUACUCACCCACUCUGCACACUGCAUUGUGACCCACUUCCAUUCCUCCUGGAUGACUCGGGAAAAAAUAUUUUUCCACAUAAUUCUCCCUAUACCACAUAAGAGGAAGCACUCUUACAGCCCAUUGAGUGCAGCCAAUAAGUGUCAAAGAUACUCAUCCAAGGUAAAAAGAAGAGGCUCUUAAUACUGUUCAAAGCUCUAUACCUUCUCUCAACCAAACCUUCAGAAAUUUGAAAGAACUGGGGAGGGAGUAGAGAGGAUGAAAGAGCACUAAGAGAAUUUGCCUGCAGUGUCUUCUUCCCACCUCCCUGUUGAGUGCUGAAACAUCUGCUUAAAAAAAAGGUAAGAAUACGUAUAUAAUAUAGACAUUGCUUCACUCUGCUGACUGCAAGUUUGGGAGUAGGGUUGUGUCAGCAGGCGCUGGCAUGAUCUACUGUGUAUGUGACUUUUCUACCCUAUGCCCUAGAAAGGAGGGUGUCAGGGGAGAACUGGGCUGUGGACACAGGGAGCAUAUUG